Long non-coding RNA from Musca vetustissima, 437 nucleotides. RefSeq lists it as uncharacterized. The record is from RefSeq and is a predicted model, not a curated record. The transcript has 3 exons. Lineage: Eukaryota; Metazoa; Arthropoda; Insecta; Diptera; Muscidae.
UUUGGUAUUUUUUUUUUAGUGCCAACCUUGCUUUCCAAAGUACUCCAGACACAAUAGUCCAACGGAUUGGUAUCCGGAGAUUUUGGUGGGCAUUGUGAGCUGGAAAUGAAGCAAGGAACCUCAUUUUGUAACCAUUCUUGGGUCGCGCGUGCUGAGUCCUUUUGGAAUGUCCAAGCGACCCACACCAUCAUUAUAGCCGGCGCUUUAGUUCUGGUGGUCAACCGAAGGUGCAUAUUUUCAGCUGACCUCUUUGGCAAGUUAACACGAUCAUUUUGUUUGUUUACAAACUGCUGGACAAUGAAUGUUUUCACAUCGGAGAAAACAAAAUUCGGCAGUUCACCACUUUCGGCCAAGCGAAGCAACUCUAUAGCUCUUUUGAGUCAAUUUUCUUUCCGUUGCGGUGUAAUUUAUUACAUUUUUUGGAAUUUCAAUGGCUU